Molecule: ribosomal RNA, 51 nt
Filed under: Bracteacoccus bullatus
Lineage: Eukaryota; Viridiplantae; Chlorophyta; Chlorophyceae; Sphaeropleales; Bracteacoccaceae
Description: partial 28S ribosomal RNA
Source: RNAcentral
CGACCUGAGCUCAGGCAAGAUUACCCGCUGAACUUAAGCAUAUCAAUAAGC